RNAcentral lists this ribosomal RNA (253 nucleotides) under uncultured bacterium. Its description in RNAcentral is "partial 16S ribosomal RNA". It matches the Rfam family "Bacterial small subunit ribosomal RNA", at positions 524 to 776 of the family's 1533-position model. The record is from RNAcentral.
UACGUAGGGUGCGAGCGUUGAUCGGAAUUACUGGGCGUAAAGGGUGCGCAGGCGGUUUUGUAAGUCAGAUGUGAAAUCCCCGGGCUUAACCUGGGAAUUGCGUUUGAAACUGUAGAGCUAGAGUGUAGCAGAGGGGGGUGGAAUUCCAUGUGUAGCAGUGAAAUGCGUAGAGAUAUGGAAGAACAUCGAUGGCGAAGGCAGCCCCCUGGGUUAACACUGACGCUCAUGCACGAAAGCGUGGGGAGCAAACAGG